GGAAGAAAGGAAUAACGGCUUGUUCCUCCUGGUUGGUUUCCUGUUUUGUUUUAAGCCCUUUGUUUUAUAAUUAUAAUUGCAGAGAGACUUGUAGGAAAUGAAAUCUCAUGCUCGCUCACCGUUUGCAGGUUGCGAGGGGAGGGGAUGAUUGUAUCUCAGCGACCUUAUUCUACCUUGCUUGUGUUUCCAUACUUGUUGAACAGAGGGAAAUGAGAUUUAUUUUCUGUGAUUUAUUUUCCACUUCUGUGAUUUAUUUUUCACAUUUUUCUAUGUAUGUUUAUGAUUAUCCUUAGUCUUUCUAUGCUUAUACUCAAAACUUUCUCUGAUUUGUUACUACUAUUUUUAUACAUUGUUUGGAGCAUAUUUUAUACAUUUUGUUGUUGGUUGGGUGCUAAGAAUUUUUUGCAUGUAGAUCCGAAGGAAAGAUAAUAGUUUUUAUAUUUGCAUGUAUAGAUUUAGAUGCAUGGUGAAACUGUGAUUAUGUUUAGUUGGAUUUUGUUUCCACCCUAAUUGAUUUCAAAUUCUAAAUUUUGAAGAAGUCUGUAUACAUUGUGGAGCACUCUUCUAUGCACUGUUAGAACAAUUCAAUAUAUAUUGUUUGAAUAAUUAUCUCUAUGUACCUACGCAGCCUUAGAUUUUUGGUUUAGAUGCACUAUUAGAAUAAUUAUCUGCGCACAAUUCUUCUAUGCUUAGUUGUAUGGGUUUUAUCUGAUUUUUUGUUGCAGCCUUGGAUGAAUAGGUGGUUUGCAUGAAAUGAAAAGCUACAAACGCAAGUAAGCAGGAUUUCUAUUCUUUGAUUUUGAUUUUUAUGCAUUUUCCUUGAUAUUAUGUGCAAUGAAUAUGUUUUUGUGCAAUUGACUUUUGGAUCUUUAUGCUUCGUGGGUUAUACGCUCGAUGUUAAGAUUUUACACAUUCAGAACCAUUCUGGUGGCAAGUCCACUGCAUGAUGUAGUCCACGACCGCGGUGCUAAUAUGGAGCAGCGGUGGCGGUUGGUGGCGUGUAGUUCAUGGCGUCGGCGCUAGUGCGAAUCAGUGGUGGUGGUCGGUUCGAUAGAAGAUAGCAAAGGAGCGGCACGACGCGGCCAAGGAUUUUUGCAUUUUGUUUGUUGAAUUUAGUGUUCUUAUGCUUGUGUGCAUAAGUUUCUAUACACACAAUGGAGCACUUCUAUGCAUUUUUGUAUUCUUAAUGCUUGUGAGCAUAAAUUUCUAUACAUUAUUGGAGCAGGUCUAUGUUGUUUUUAUGUGACAAUAAAUUCACUUUUUAUUCAUCAAAUUACUAAAUUCUAUGUAAUGCCGGUACGAAAAAGAUUUAAGUGUAUCUUGAUCAUUGAAUUUAUGAAUCUGGUCGUCUAUCACGUGUUAUUUUUUCAAAAUUUUAAAUUUUUGAGAAGAAGAGAUCGUCUUUUAUGUUUUACAUGUGCGGUUCUCAUGUUCUAUGUGUUUCUAUACAUCGUUUCCUAUAUUACUUAUGCAUCCUCUCUAGAAUGCAAGGUGUGGUUGGACGCGGUCACGAUUUUUCAAAUUAAUAAUAUGCAGAAGGGAGGGUUUUUACGCGACAAUAAAAUUAUUCUUAUUCACCAAACCACUAAUUUAUAUGCAACGUUAGCGCAAAAAACUUUUCUACGCAUUUUGACUAUUUGAUUCUAUGCAUCUAAUCGUCAUCACGUGCCAUGAUUCAAAUCCCGGUUGUGUCAGAUGAAAUGUCCAUCUCGCGGCUUUAGAUGGUAACAAAAUUAAUUUUUAUUCAUCCAACCACUAACUUCUAUAUAACGUCAGCAUCAAAAACUUUCUGUGCAUCUUGGCUAUUGAUUUUAUGCAUCCAAACGGCCAUCACAUACCAUGAUUCAAAAGUCAAAGUUUAGAGGAAGACGAGAUCAUCUCCAUAUUUUUACACGUCCAGUCUCUAUGUUUUAUGAAUUGUUCCUAUGUUAGUUAUACACCCUAUAGUGAGGAGCAUAAUAUUGUUGGAGGCAAUUACGGUUGUUUCGUGGAAUAUCUAUCUCGCAGAGAAGUUUUUAUGCGAUAACAAAAUUAAUUUUUAUUCACCCAACAACUAAUUUCUAUGCAACAUCGACGUAAAAACGUUUUUACGCAUCUUGAUACUGGUAUAUUGGGAGCCCUGGGCUACAAAUACUUAUUGGAAGCCCCAACCAACACCCCCACCUAGCCCCUGCCUGCGCACAAGUGGGGGACCCCAGACAUUCAACCAAUGCCACUCAGUCCACCAUUCAGGUCAACUGAGCUGACACGCACAGCAGAUGGGGACUGUAGUGGACCCUGUCAAUCGGAUGCAUAAAAAUAUAGGUAAAGCUGCAUAGAAAAGUUUUGGUCGCAAUGUUGCAUAGAAAUUAGUUGAUGGAUGAAUUAAAACUAAUUCGUUAUUGCGUAAAAACCUUUCUGCGAGUUAGACGUUCCACCUGUUCCACCUAACUACACCUGACAGAGGCUGACACGCGCUGACACAUGCUGAUACAUGUAUGCGUCUUCCAUUGUAUUCUCUUCUAUUUUUCCACGAUAAUUCCUCGAUGGAGCUUUCAAUUUUAAAAUGGUUUUGAUCAUUGAACUCCUGACAUUUUUAUGCACGAUUCAAGAUCCACUUUGAAUAUUUUUGAAACAAAAUUAAAAUUUAAAAUUUGAAUCAUGGCACGUGAUAACGAUUAGAUGCAUAGAAUCAAUAGUCAAAAUACGUAAAAAAGUUUUUGGCGCCAUUGUUGCAUAGAAAUUAGUGGUUUGAUGAAUAAGAAUAAUUUCAUUGUCGCGUAAAAACCCUCCCUUCUGCAUAUUAUUGAUUUGAACAAUCGUGACCGCGUCCAACCACAUAUUGCUUUCUAGAGGGGAUGCAUAAGUAAUAUAGGAAACAAUGUAUAGAAACACAUAAAACCCUUCCCACUAUUGAAGAGGAUCGUAACCACAACCAUAGCCGCUCAUACCCACACCAUACUUUCCACCAGGGGAUAUUUAUUUAACAGAGGAACAACGCAUAGAAACCGAGUCAACAACAUAUUAAAAACCAACCGAGGUUACAUAGAAACAAAGUUUUGCUCAUCUCAUCCAAGCAUAUAAAUACAUCAUGGAAAACUAACUUUUUACAUUAACCAAUCAACUAUAUUAAGAUCACACGACGCCACCGCCACGAGUCGUGGACAUCACAAGCCAUGUCAUAUGUCUGAGGCACCAUUGACCUCUCACACCAAAUGGAAAGAAAUCCUUCCAACCAUGCUACAUCACAACAAAGCCACCAUUGACCUCCCACCAAAUAGAGGAAUCUAUUUUAACCAUCCUACAUCACAACAAAGGCAAUAGAAACAUGUUUUAGUAGGAGAAGAAACCUUACAAAAGUAAGGCAUAGAAACAUGUUUCUUACAAUAUGCAUAGAAAAGUUUUGCCGGCAUUGCAUAGAAAUUAGUGGCUCAAUAAAUAAAAGUUAAUUUUGUGAUCGCAUAAAACCUCUCCACAAGAUGGGCAUCCUCCGUAGACAACUGUAAUUACCUCCACUGAUAUCACUAGGGGUGUAUAAUUAACAUGGGAACAAUACAUAGAACAUGGAGAUCACACACGUAAAAGAUGAAUACGGUCUCAUUUUCUCUAAUUUUUUAAAAAUAGCAUGUAAUGGGCGAUCAGAUUCAUAGAAUCAGUAAGCUGCGCAGAAAUAUUUUUGGCACAUGUAUAGAAAUUAGUAGUUAAAUGCAUAAAGAUUAAAUUUGUUACCACAUAAAAACCACAUAGCAACUGCUCCAACAAUGUAUCGAAUUAUGUGUCAAUAAUGUAUAGAAAUAUAUACCGACAGUGUAUACCAAGUAUCAGCUAGAAAUGUAUCCAAAAUUCAAAAGUGCAUGAAAAUGCAUGAAUUGCAUAAAAUCACUGGUUGCCUGCAUAUAGAAAGCACAAUGGACAAAAUCACUGGUUGCAUGAUUCAAAUUUUGGAACAUUGCAUAGAGACUAAAAUCGAAUCAAAACAUAUAAAUCCAUGGCAUAGAAACUAUGGCUCAAGACCUGUGGAAGACAUCCUUGACCGCGUCACGCCAUUGCUGUUGUCCACACCACCAUCCACCACCACCCAUUCGCACCACACUCAUACAUGCAGUUUCACAAAUAACGGGUAAUUCGUUUAGACAGCAAGACAGGCAUAGGAACAUGUUUUAGCAGGAGAAGGCAUAUGAACUUGAGCAAGAUAGACAUAGAAACAUGAUUUAGUAGGCGCAUAAACCUUAUAUCAGCAAAAGAAAGACAUAUAUCAAGGAGAUGCAUAAAAACUCAAAAUCAACCACGUAGAAAUCUUGCUUGCCUACUUUGGUAGCUCUUCAUUUCAUGCAGACCUUUUGUCAUAUAAGCAUGGAUACCACUCUCACAAAUCAUAAAAAUAUGACAUGAAAAUACUAAAAACCAUAUUUCUAGGCAUCUAUCGAACAAUAGGCUAGCAGCAUCUCCAAUUCCGCACUUCAAAGGGAGCUCACGAGCAGGCCUAGCAUGCUCCCCCUAAAUCGCCGAGUGGAUGCAUAGAAACCAUUCUCGUUCAAGCAAAAACCAAAUCCUGCUUGCUUAUACGGUUGACUUUAAGCAUAGAAAUAAAAAUCAAUUGCAAAGUCGAGGAUUCCAAACAUACUAGUGUCACUUCUGGCCGCCGUGCUGGAUGUGUCCUCAUCUAGAAGCUCAUCAACACCAUGGCAGUAGUCCUGUUCUCCAGUAGGCUGGUUGUCUUCCGAUUUGCUGGCAAAAAAACACGCCAAAUCAAAACUAAAAAUUAUGCAUGCAAACAUAGUAACCAAAGGAAAGCAAGAAAAAUAUUUUUUUUGAACAAAACUGGCAUAGAAACAUUUUUUAUACCAUAUAGAAAUAUGUUUUAGCAUGUAUAGAAACCUUACAGUGGCACGAAAGGCGUAUAGAACAGCAUAGAAACUUGUUUUUAGCAAUUUGGAUAUGCUUUACGAUAACCCAACUCACUCCCAUUCAACAUGGGUAGUACUCCAAAUGGGUUGGAAAACAAAUAAAAAGUGCAUGUACAGUGAAACAAUUUGGAUAAAUUGGAGAACUUUCCAACAGCAGUCAUAUUAAUCAAUAAAAAGUAACUAGCAGAAAAGUUAUAGAAAUUUUGUGACUAUAAUUACGAGAAAAAAAAACAACACAAAAAGUAAUGAACUCGAAUCCAUGCUCCAAAUAAUAUAUAAAAUAUGCUCCAACAAUAUAUAUACAAUUCCAAAUGAUUUCUUGAUUAUAUGGUUGGCUCAAGAAGCAUAGAAAUAAAAAAUCAAAGUACAUAAAAACAAUAUACAAAAACCAUUAUUUUAUUUAGUCAUCUCGCCAAUCAAUUGCUAUGCAUAGAAAAUUAUGUAUAGAAUCAUGAACUUUGCAUAAAAAAGUACUCCAACUAUAUAUAUAACCGUAUAGAAGUGCACAAUUAAUUGCUCCAACAGUGUAGAGUAAUUUGUUGUAACAAUAUAUGUAAUACAUAUCAAGCUAUAGUUUAGCCAUGCAUAGAAACUUAUGCACACAUGCAUAAUAACUAAAAAAUCUACAAACAAAACAAUGAAGAUGAAUUAUGCACAAACCACAAACAUGGAUCUUUGUAUCUACUGCUAGGAUUAAAAUACAGGAGGAUCAUAUUGGACAUCUGAGCAAUGCAUCUAUGCAUACAAAUCACCCAGCAACUUUGAAAACCACAGUUCCACCAUGCAUAGAAACUAGUAUGUUAGUAUACAAUUCACCCAACUGUUGGAUCUCGCUGCUACAACACACCCUACUCCUCCGUUAGAUGAGGAUGAGUAUGCUGCUCGCCGUGUUGUAGAGAGGAGAAAGGUCAGCAUGCUAAAGUGAGGAGGAAGAUCCAUAACACCGUUGACCUCUCACAAAUAGAGAGGAAUCCUUCCAACCAUCCUACAUCACAGCAAAGGCAUAGAAACAUAUUUGAGCAGUGCACAAAAAUGACAGUGGCAAAGAAAGGCAUAUAAAAGAAGUUUUAGUACGUGCACAAACCUUACAGCGGCAAGAAUGCCAUAUACACAUGUUUUAGCAGUUGCAUAAAAGCUAUUCAUGAAACUAAUGUCAUCUACAUAAAUGCAAAAAUCAUAACAACAUAGCAUAUAAAUCUAACUUGUCAAGCAUAGAAACCUAUUAGUGAAAUUAAUAUCAGCUACAUUAAUUAAAAAGUCACGGACCAUUCAGGUGUUGCAAGUAUAUAAAUCAAAAUCCAAAGCAUGGGAUAGGACAACUAGUUCAUCCAAUGAAGGCAAUGAGUUGUCUUGCCACAUUAUGGCUACCUAAAUUAGAGUGCACAAAUACCAGGAACCAUUUUUAUGCAUGUUACUAAAUAAAUAAGUAAACUGAAUUAAUGCAGCUCGCAAAAGCUCCACCACCGUCGUGGCCUCCCUGGCCAGCUGUUUGACGACCUCGCCAAUCUGCCAAUCUGUGGCCCAAAUGAUGGAAAAAUAAAAGUCAGAGAAAAAAAAUGAAAGAGGAAGCAAGAUGCAUAUCAUAGAAAUAGGAUUAGGCACUGAUUCUAAUUUCUGUAACUUGUAUUGGAUGGAGCAGGGAAGUGAAUAGGAGUUGGAAACCUGUUCCCUAGGGAAGGCCUCGGCGCCAUCGAAGGCGAAGUAGAUGUGCGGCGUCUUCUCCAUGAGGGAGCGCCACUGCUCCACGAGCAGGGCCUUGCCAAUGCAUGCACACUGCUACAUCACCACAUCAUGUCAGGGAAGGGAGACGACCUCGCCGCAGCGGCGAUGUGGAAGCUGCCGCCACUAGCCAUGGGGGGCGGGGAGAGGACGCCGUCUCUGGUCUGGUCGGGGUGGAGAGGAGGCUGUCUCUGGGGCAUCCCAGAUCUGGGCACGAGGUCCAUGGGCCUCACACCACGAGCCUCCUUGGCGCCGGUGAAGGGGAGGCCGAGGAGGGCGUCGCUGCCUCUUCUUCUGGAUCCACCACAGGACGAUGCUGCGCCCAAGAUCCAAGCGAGCAACACUGCCACCAUGUUCCUGGAUGUCCUUGGAGUGGUUGCAGGGGAGGGGAGCCGGCACCAUGGGAUGGAGGAGGCGCCGUGUCCGCCGGUGGAGCAGGGUGGGGCGCCGCCACCGUGGAGAGGUCGCACGAGAGAGGAGGAUUUUCUUUUUUUUUCUAAAUCUCGACGCAGCCUGGGUGCCUCCCAUUUGAACCCGCAACCUUUGGGUUGCGGUGGGGCGCCUGGUCUUACCAUAUUGGAGUGGCCCUGCAGCUGGUUCGCUGGAACCAGCUUGGCUGUUUGGAUUCGGGCUUCCUAUAUCUAUUGAAAGCCCUAAGCUCCUAAUAGUAUACCUAUAUAUAUAUAUAGGUAUGCUCCUAAUAGUAUACCUAUAUAUAUAUAUAUAGGUAUACUAUUGAGAGCAUAGGGCUUCUAAUAAUUAGUGGAAGCCCUAACCCAAAUCUGUGUUUUCUGGUUCCACCAACCCACCAGCCCACUGGCCUAUCCAUCGGCCCACCUUCCCAAGCCCUAUAUAUAUUCUUCAAAACCCUAAUCCCACUCUUCCCCUCACCUGGCCGCCACCCUCAACAGGCGCCGCCCCAAUCCCUGGCCUCGACCCGCGGCGGCGCGACAUCACCACUUCCCCGGCGCGACAUCACCACUUCCGGCUCCUGUGAUGCCUACAUCCUUGAGCGCGCAGAGGCGGAGCCACAACGCGGCGACCUCGGCGAGGAGCGCCUCGCGCUUGGCGCGCCCGCGCGACUCCUUGCGGAGCCAUCGCUGCUCCUUGCGGAGCCACCGCGCCUCCUCGCCCUCCUCCCAGGACGACGAGGGUCCAGCAGCGGCGCGGGGCGGGAGGACAACCGCGGCGGCGCGGGGCGAGCAGCUGGGCCAGAGCUGCGGGCGGUGGAAGGCGGUGGAGACAAACAGGAAGGCCACACGCGCGUCGUGCUCGGGUUGGCCCCGCGCUCGUGGAGCUUGGCGAGCCCGAAGUCGCCGAGCCGCGCUGACAUGUUGGCGUCGAGGAGCACGUUGCUGGCCUUAACAUCGCGGUGGAGGACGACGCUCUCCCACCCUUCGUGCAGGUACAGCAGUGCCGACACGACAUCGCGGAGGAUCCAGUGGCGGACAGGCCACGUCAGGCGGCGACGCCUUGAGGUGGUCGUCGAAGAGGUGCCGAAGAGGUGGCAUUUUUUAUGCAUUUUUCUUGAUAUUAUGUGCAAUGAAUAUGUUUUUGUGCAAUUGACUUUUGGAUCUUUAUGCUUCGUGGGUUAUAUGCUUGAUGUUAAGAUUUUACACAUUCAGAACCAUUCUGGUGGCAAGUCCACUGCAUGAUGUAGUCCACGACCGCGGUGCUAGUAUGAAGCAGCGGUGGCGGUUGGUGGCGUGUAGUUCAUAGCGUCGGCGCUAGUGCGAAUCAGUGGUGGUGGUCGGUUCGAUGGAAGAUAGCAAAGGAGCGGCACGAUGCGGCCAAGGAUUUUUGCAUUUUGUUUGUUGAAUUUAGUGUUCUUAUGCUUGUGUGCAUAAGUUUCUAUACACACAAUGGAGCACUUCUAUGCAUUUUUGUAUUCUUAAUGCUUGUGAGCAUAAAUUUAUAUACAUUAUUGGAGCAGGUCUAUGUUGUUUUUAUGCGACAAUAAAUUCACUUUUUAUUCAUCAAAUUACUAAAUUCUAUGUAAUGCCGG
RNAcentral lists this long non-coding RNA (8610 nucleotides) under Sorghum bicolor (sorghum). Its description in RNAcentral is "long non-coding RNA (SBIC_LNC016331)". The record is from RNAcentral. Lineage: Eukaryota; Viridiplantae; Streptophyta; Magnoliopsida; Poales; Poaceae.